This 1644-nucleotide ribosomal RNA is filed under the name Triticum aestivum (bread wheat). Its description in RNAcentral is "partial small subunit ribosomal RNA". The record is from RNAcentral. Lineage: Eukaryota; Viridiplantae; Streptophyta; Magnoliopsida; Poales; Poaceae.
AUGAUGGGAAUGGUGGACGCCGAGGCUCCCUUCCUUACGGAGCACACGGAAGAUGGGCCACCGCUCGCUGGUGUCUCCGACUUCCACGGCCGCUUCGUCUACCACAGCACCUCCGGCGGGUGGCGCUCCGCCCUCUUCGUCGUCGUGAUGGAGGUCGCCAGCGCUUUCUCCUACUAUGGCGUGUCGGCGAACCUGAUCACGUACCUGACGGGGCCGCUGGGCCACUCCAACGCCGCCGCAGCUGCCGGCGUGAAUGUCUGGUCGGGAACGGCCACGCUGAUGCCGUUGCUGGGCGCCUUCGUCGCCGACUCAUGGCUGGGGCGCUACCGGUCCAUCAUCCUUGCCUGCAUCCUCUACGUCAUGGGGUAUGCCAUGAUCACUCUAUCAUCGGUGCUCUCGACACAUCAUCCAUCAUUACCCGACGACACCUCUUCCCAUCCCUUGUCGCUGCAGGUGGCCUUCUUCUACGCCUCCCUCUAUCUCAUUGCCAUCGCGCAGGGUGCAGACAAUCCAUGUGCACUGGCCUUUGCUGCUGACCAGUUCGAUCCCGACCACCCUAGGGAGUGCGCCGCCCGCAGCUCUUUGUUCAAUUGGUGGUACUUCUCCUUGGCUAUAGGUAUCACCAUUUCUGUUGGUGUAGUCAGCUACAUCCAGGAGAACCUUGGUUGGGGAAUUGGAUUUGGCAUGCUCUGUGCCCUCAUGCUAUGUGCCUUCGUUGUCUUCCUCCUCGGCACCCCUACAUAUCGCCUCUAUGAGGCCACUCCCGGCACGGAUAGCCCCUUCGUGCUCCUUGCUCGUAGCCUCGCUGUGCUAGUCCAACAUGACAAUGCCACUUCAAGCUCAAUGCUUGGUACAAAAAUAGAAUGCCAGCUAGAAGCCAAGGACGUUGCAACCAAGAAGGAGGACGCACGUGCUGUGCUGCGGUUGUUGUCGAUUUGGGUGGCGUGCCUGGCUUAUGGUGUGGCAUUUGCACAAGUCAUGACGCUCUUUAACAAGCAGGGCCGCACCCUGGACCGCCGCAUCUUUGGAGGCCUGGAGCUGCCACCGGCGGCGCUGCAAACGUUGGGGCCUGCAUCAAUCCUAUUGUUUGUCCCCAUAUAUGACCGUGUGCUGGUGCCGGCGCUGCGGCGCACCACGGGCACCUUAUCGGGGCUAACGCUGCUACAACGUGUGGGCACGGGCAUGGCGCUGACCCUGGCCUCGAUGUCUGUGGCAGCAUUGGUGGAAAGACGACGCCUUGAGACGGCACGGGAGCACGGCCUGGUGGACGACCCGGAGGCAACGGUGCCGAUGUGCUGGGCAUGGCUGGUGCCACAAUACGUUUUGAUUGGGGUCGCAGGUGUGUUUGCGGAAGUGGGGAUGCAGGAGUUCUUCUAUGAUCAGAUGCCCAGUGAGCUACGCAGCUUGGGCAUGGCACUCUACUAUAGCGUGAUCGGCAUGGGUAACUUCAUCAGCGGCACUCUUGUCUCCCUAAUCGACCGCAUCACCAGCAGCGGUGGUGGCGACAGCUGGUUCGCGGACAACCUUAACCGUGCUCACCUCGACUACUUCUACUGGUUGCUCGCCGGCUUCAGCGCCGCCCAACUUGCGCUCUACCUCCGCUUCGCAAGUACCUAUGUCUACAGCCACAAGAGGCUCCGCUGA